Long non-coding RNA from Xiphophorus hellerii (green swordtail), 311 nucleotides. RefSeq lists it as uncharacterized. Lineage: Eukaryota; Metazoa; Chordata; Actinopteri; Cyprinodontiformes; Poeciliidae. The record is from RefSeq and is a predicted model, not a curated record. The transcript is spliced from 2 exons.
AGAAGAAGAAGCUAAUGGUGACCGCUGCUAAUAAUUCUGCAGUGAAAAGCACGGAGGAAAACUGCGGCUGAAUCAAGGAGAACUGCGGCUGAUCCGACAUGGCGACACUGAUUUCAGCGCGACGGAGGAGUAGUCCUGCAACUCGGGUGGCGGAGUUUUAAAGGAAGUUGGACUCGCGAAGCAUCCUUCACGGAGAGGACGUCGGCUGAGCGAGCAGGUCGGAGUUGGUUCAUUGUUUAAACGGAGAAGAGGAUCGUCGAAGCGACAUCGAUCUCUAGCUUCACCAGGCCUGCAACGGAACCUUAAACCGG